This 449-nucleotide ribosomal RNA is filed under the name uncultured bacterium. RNAcentral describes it as "partial 16S ribosomal RNA". It matches the Rfam family "Bacterial small subunit ribosomal RNA", at positions 330 to 795 of the family's 1533-position model. The record is from RNAcentral.
ACCAGACUCCUACGGGAGGCAGCAGUGGGGGAUAUUGCACAAUGGGGGGAACCCUGAUGCAGCGACGCCGCGUGGGUGAAGGAGCGUUUCGGCGCGUAAAGCCCUAUCGGCAGGGAAGAAGGAGGACGGUACCUGACUAAAAAGCCCCGGCUAACUACGUGCCAGCAGCCGCGGUAAUACGUAGGGGGCAAGCGUUAUCCGGGUUUACUGGGUGUAAAGGGAGCGUAGACGGCCAAGCAAGCCAGGGGUGAAAGCCCGGGGCCCAACCCCGGGACUGCCCUUGGAACUGCAUGGCUGGAGUGCGGGAGGGGCAGGCGGAAUUCCUGGUGUAGCGGUGAAAUGCGUAGAUAUCAGGAGGAACACCGGUGGCGAAGGCGGCCUGCUGGACUGCGACUGACGUUGAGGCCCGAAAGCGUGGGGAGCAAUCAGGAUUAGAUACCCCGGUAAAC